Molecule: ribosomal RNA, 262 nt
Filed under: uncultured bacterium
Lineage: Bacteria
Description: partial 16S ribosomal RNA
Rfam family: Bacterial small subunit ribosomal RNA
Source: RNAcentral
GAUCCUACGGGAGGCAGCAGUGGGGAAUAUUGGGCAAUGGGCGCAAGCCUGACCCAGCAACGCCGCGUGAAGGAAGAAGGCUUUCGGGUUGUAAACUUCUUUUCUGAGGGACGAAGAAAGUGACGGUACCUCAGGAAUAAGCCACGGCUAACUACGUGCCAGCAGCCGCGGUAAUACGUAGGUGGCAAGCGUUAUCCGGAUUUAUUGGGUGUAAAGGGCGAGUAGGCGGGAAAGCAAGUCAGAUGUGAAAACUCAGGGCUCA